This is a long non-coding RNA of Dermochelys coriacea (leatherback sea turtle), 155 nucleotides long. RefSeq lists it as uncharacterized. The record is from RefSeq and is a predicted model, not a curated record. The transcript has 3 exons. Lineage: Eukaryota; Metazoa; Chordata; Testudines; Dermochelyidae.
GUCUACUUUCCACACAAUAUAGUGGGAGCAGUUGCCUCUCACUGACUUGCUUUCAGACAGCAAUUUCGUUACUAAAAGGAAUAGGUAUAGCAUAAGAGCCUGAAUAAACUAGAACUGCACAUGCGAUGUGCAACGAGCGUUGGCUAGAAUACUGA